RNAcentral lists this ribosomal RNA (586 nucleotides) under uncultured eukaryote. Its description in RNAcentral is "SSU rRNA". It matches the Rfam family "Eukaryotic small subunit ribosomal RNA", at positions 617 to 1206 of the family's 1831-position model. The record is from RNAcentral.
GGUUAAAAAGCUCGUAGUUGGAUUUCUGUUGAGAAUGUCCAGUCCGCACAUUGUGCGAGUAUUUGGUACAGUCUUGGCAUCCUCCUGGGGAGCGUUGAUGUACUUGAUUGUAUGUUGCGUGAUUCAGGACUUUUACUUUGAGGAAAUUAGAGUGUUCACGGCAGGCGUUUGCCUUGAAUAUGUUAGCAUGGAAUAAUAAUAUAAGACCUCGGUUUUAUUUUGUUGGUUUCUAGAAGCGAGGUAAUGAUUAAUAGGGACAAUUGGGGGUAUUCGAAUUAACGCGUCAGAGGUGGAAUUCUUGGAUUGCGUUACGACGAACUACUGCGAAAGCAUUUACCAAGGAUGUUUUCAUUGAUCAAGAACGAAAGUCAGGGGAUCGAAGACGAUUAGAUACCGUCGUAGUCUUGACCAUAAACUAUGCCGACUAGAGAUUGGAGGUUCGCUCUUUUUACGGCUCCUUCAGCAUCUUAUGAGAAAUCAAAGUUUUUGGGUUCCGGGGGGAGUAUGGUCGCAAGGCUGAAACUUAAAGGAAUUGACGGAAGGGCACCACCAGGAGUGGAGCCUGCGGCUUAAUUUGACUCAACAC